CCUACGGGAGGCAGCAGUGAGGAAUAUUGGUCAAUGGGCGUAAGCCUGAACCAGCCAAGUCGCGUGAGGGAUGAAGGUUCUAUGGAUUGUAAACCUCUUUUAUAAGGGAAUAAAGUGCGGGACGUGUCCCGUUUUGUAUGUACCUUAUGAAUAAGGAUCGGCUAACUCCGUGCCAGCAGCCGCGGUAAUACGGAGGAUCCGAGCGUUAUCCGGAUUUAUUGGGUUUAAAGGGUGCGUAGGCGGCCUUUUAAGUCAGCGGUGAAAGUCUGUGGCUCAACCAUAGAAUUGCCGUUGAAACUGGGAGGCUUGAGUAUGUUAGAGGCAGGCGGAAUGCGUGGUGUAGCGGUGAAAUGCUUAGAUAUCACGCAGAACCCCGAUUGCGAAGGCAGCCUGCCGAGCCAUGACUGACGCUGAUGCACGAAAGCGUGGGGAUCAAACAGGAUUAGAUACCCCAGUAGUC
RNAcentral lists this ribosomal RNA (460 nucleotides) under uncultured bacterium. RNAcentral's name for it is "partial 16S ribosomal RNA". It matches the Rfam family "Bacterial small subunit ribosomal RNA", at positions 338 to 795 of the family's 1533-position model. The record is from RNAcentral.